AAAAUAAUCUUCACAGCCCAGAUAGGCAUGAAGGUGUUAAUGUACAAAAGCAAUAUUCUGAGUCAAAGUUUCAAUGGAAAGGUCCCGUAAUUGCUCCACCUCAAGAAAACAUUGGUUGAUUUCUACUUCGAUGGUCCUCCGUAUAGAAUGUGAGUCGAUGGCAGAUAAGAACCAUUCGGCCCAUCUAGUCUGUCCAAUUUAUUAAAU
Pelobates cultripes (western spadefoot toad) is the source of this 207-nucleotide non-coding RNA. NCBI's taxonomy places the organism in Eukaryota, Metazoa, Chordata, Amphibia, Anura, Pelobatidae. The record is from the annotation of a GenBank genome assembly.